Molecule: ribosomal RNA, 709 nt
Filed under: Pseudomonas sp. 2P
Lineage: Bacteria; Pseudomonadati; Pseudomonadota; Gammaproteobacteria; Pseudomonadales; Pseudomonadaceae
Description: bacterial SSU rRNA
Rfam family: Bacterial small subunit ribosomal RNA
Source: RNAcentral
UGCAGUCGAGCGGAUGAAGGAGCUUGCUCCUGGAUUCAGCGGCGGACGGGUGAGUAAUGCCUAGGAAUCUGCCUGGUAGUGGGGGACAACGUUUCGAAAGGAACGCUAAUACCGCAUACGUCCUACGGGAGAAAGCAGGGGACCUUCGGGCCUUGCGCUAUCAGAUGAGCCUAGGUCGGAUUAGCUAGUUGGUGAGGUAAUGGCUCACCAAGGCGACGAUCCGUAACUGGUCUGAGAGGAUGAUCAGUCACACUGGAACUGAGACACGGUCCAGACUCCUACGGGAGGCAGCAGUGGGGAAUAUUGGACAAUGGGCGAAAGCCUGAUCCAGCCAUGCCGCGUGUGUGAAGAAGGUCUUCGGAUUGUAAAGCACUUUAAGUUGGGAGGAAGGGUUGUAGAUUAAUACUCUGCAAUUUUGACGUUACCGACAGAAUAAGCACCGGCUAACUCUGUGCCAGCAGCCGCGGUAAUACAGAGGGUGCAAGCGUUAAUCGGAAUUACUGGGCGUAAAGCGCGCGUAGGUGGUUUGUUAAGUUGGAUGUGAAAUCCCCGGGCUCAACCUGGGAACUGCAUCCAAAACUGGCAAGCUAGAGUAUGGUAGAGGGUGGUGGAAUUUCCUGUGUAGCGGUGAAAUGCGUAGAUAUAGGAAGGAACACCAGUGGCGAAGGCGACCACCUGGACUGAUACUGACACUGAGGUGCGAAAGCGU